This 500-nucleotide ribosomal RNA is filed under the name uncultured bacterium. RNAcentral describes it as "bacterial SSU rRNA". It matches the Rfam family "Bacterial small subunit ribosomal RNA", at positions 38 to 571 of the family's 1533-position model. The record is from RNAcentral.
GGCAGCGUGCAUAACACAUGCAAGUCGAACGGUAGUAUUAUCUUCGGAUAAUAUGAGAGUGGCGAACGGGUGAGUAACACGUAAGAAUCUACCUUUAGGACGGGGAUAACUUCUGGAAACGGAUGCUAAUACCCGAUAUGCUGUGGAGUGAAAUGAAUUUCGCCUAAAGAUGAUCUUGCGUCUGAUUAGCUAGAUAGGGUGGUAAUGGCGCCCUAUGGCGACGAUCAGUAGCUGGUCUGAGAGGAUGGACAGCCACAUUGGGACUGAGACACGGCCCAAACUCCUACGGGAGGCAGCAGUGGGGAAUUUUCCGCAAUGGGCGAAAGCCUGACGGAGCGACGCUGCGUGAAGGAUGACGGCCUGAGGGUUGUAAACUUCUUUUCUCGAAGAAGAAUCAAUGACGGUAUUCGAGGAAUAAGCAUCGGCUAACUCUGUGCCAGCAGCCGCGGUAAGACAGAGGAUGCAAGUGUUAUUCGGAUUGAUUGGGCGUAAAGCGUCUG